AAGGAUUUAAGUUAAAUAAACUCGUAGCCUUCAAAGCUUCAAAUAAGAACCCAUAUUCUUAAGCCUUA
This 68-nucleotide transfer RNA is filed under the name Aleochara sp. 3 EF-2015. RNAcentral describes it as "tRNA-Trp". The record is from RNAcentral. Lineage: Eukaryota; Metazoa; Arthropoda; Insecta; Coleoptera; Staphylinidae.